This is a non-coding RNA of Cricetulus griseus (Chinese hamster), 1920 nucleotides long. Lineage: Eukaryota; Metazoa; Chordata; Mammalia; Rodentia; Cricetidae. The record is from RefSeq and is a predicted model, not a curated record.
UGUUCAGCUUGGAGAGGCAACGGCAUCCGUGUACCACUGCAUAUUAGCAGCAUACGGGCGGACAUAACUAAGUACUUGGUUUAGUCUAAGUAAGAGAGCGUGUUGUAACAAUGAGUUCUUCAUAGGAGGAUCAUGUUAGAGGUGGGAUACUUCCAUACAUAGAAUAUUCAUAUACAGAGACUGGUGAGAGAGAGAUUCCUGAGCCCUUGUCCGGGAGAGGCCCUGGUUGUGUGACCCUGGAGCUCCCUCCUGUCUCUGCCAUUCCUUGACUCCGGAGACCAGGGAAUUUUCCAUGCGACUCUGCCCUUCACAGAGAGAGGCUGCAUCUGUCCUUUAUGUGAAUAUUGUACAAUCCUACGCUAUCCCCUCUCCCCACAUAAAAUAAAUGAAAUUAUUCAUGUGCUCACUCUAAUGGAGUAACUGAACAAUAGAUUUUAAUCUGUAGUCCAUGAAAACCAUCAUGAAUACAUUAAAUAGAAUUUGAGUGAUGCCUGCCGUGGAGAUUUAAAUCCCAGUGUUCACAGUAAAAGGGAAUGAAACUGUGCGUGUUGUCUCAGGAUGUAAAUGUGAUUCACUUUUACACGUAACACUGAAGUCAUGGAACACAGUAGUGGUCCCAGCUCGGCACUUCCCAGAUGAAGAGCAGCCAAUGCUCCCCAGGUAAGACAAGAGAAAUCAAAGCAGAAAUACAUUGAAAAGUCUUGACCACUUGGGAUUUGAUUAAACUAUCAAGGGGUUCAUCCUUGGCAUGAAAUUUCAGGGAAAAAAAGCAAAACAAAACAAAUCAAAACACAUUCAUUCCCUCCCCAAUAAUUAAAUCUGAAUGUGCCGAUGAAUGAAAUACCUCAUUGAUAGGUAGAAAGUCCAUCUAGGCCUUGGCUGGCUAAGGAUGUGAGUUUAGGAGGUUUAAGUGUCCUUCCUGCAGCUAAGGUGAGGUGGGCAGGAGGAAGGGUCAAAAUUCAAAACAAUCAAAACAGAAGGUUGGGUAGUGAGACACAUGACUUGAGGAGUUCGUUUGUGUAUGAAAGAUCAAGGGAUAGUAGAAAAUUUAGGAAGACAUAAUACUCAGUGGCACACUAGGGACUUGAAAAAUGAGAGCUAGACUCCCAGAGAGAGGGGGACAGCAGCCUGGGGUCACAGACAGGAGGGGAAGAAGUCAUAGUGGCAGAGCCUAGAGAUGCAGAGGCAGGUGGCUGUGCAAUUACCACUCUGCUCCGUGGCUCAUCCGUGUGUAUCUGGCAGGUCUGUCUAUGCUUUCAUUUGCCUGCCACCAAUCACAAGCCAAAAUAACGCUAAAUGGGAAAUUGCAGAGACAAGCAUCCCAUACUCUGUCAACAGUGAACAUCUCUGAGUAGGGCGGUGAGAUCUCAGAUCACCCUGCUCCAGAUGAGGACCACACCAGGCUGGAGGCAAGACAAGGCACAUUCAAAGUCCUUUGAACUGAAUUACUGAGCGGAGCCGAGGGAGAUUAUCCGGAUCACCAAUUCUCCACUAAUGAAGACAAGUGACUGUAUGAACCUCAUGAGCCCAGGUUCCCAGCAUUAACAUAUCAGCGCUAUUUGGAAUAAAUGUGCAUAACAGACACAUUUAUUUUACGAUAGCAGAGGGUGACUCCAGCUGAACAGGCAUGAUUGAAAACCUAAAGCUCAAGCCAUGCGCCAUUACUUAAAAAGCACCUUUUAAGCUAUUUACUGUGUAACGAGUAUCAUUGACGGUAAGAGGCAUAUGAAUGACGCGAAGCUGAUUGGAAAAUAAAAUGCUGGACAAUCAAACUGAACGAUUUCUCCAGGCGUAAAGAUUGCUAUGCUGGUGAGGACCUCGUCACUAGAAGAGUGACACAGAACUGCGGGGAAGCCCUUUACUCUCACGGCCAUGGGUUUGAAUUCUGCCACUGUUUUUGUCUACCACUGAUAAAUUCAU